CUGAAAUCUAACUGCUGCUCUCCAAUUUCUGAUUGUGCUUGGUUAUCUCCAGGAGAAAAAUUAAUCUGAUCCGUGCUGUUGUUUUUUGUGAGAGGAAGUUCCCACAGCACUACUCUUGGAUCCAGGAGACUGAAGUGAAACCACAGAACCAUUUUUGAUAUGGGGAACAGCUCUUGAUUCUUCUAUUGUUCCAGUCGCACUGUUCACAGAGGGAGAAUGUUUAAGAGGAGCACUACUGUUGCUGGGCGUUUUUGGUGCUAUGAGGUCAGGAGAAGAGGGAAUGUCAUAUGAAAUUACAAAUUAGAUGGGUCUGCCUUUCAGGUAAAUUUUUCUGGAACUUAUUUAUCUUAAUAUCAAGUACUCACAUAACACUUUAGUAUUCAAAGUGCUUUUGGAAAAAUAUUUCAAAGUAGGAAAUACUCCUUUCAGAAAAAAAAGAAAACUAGACCUCAGAAAGCUAAGUGACUUGUCCAAAUUAUAAGACUAGAACCUAUUCAUUGUAUGUAACUUUGAAUCUAAGUAUGUUUAACAAGUUGUUUAGUUCUAACUGGAAAUUGAAUGGAUGCCCAUCAAAUGGAGAAUGGCUGGGUAAAUUGUGGUAUAUGAAUGUUAUGGAAUAUUAUUGUUCUGUAAGAAAUGACCAGCAGGAUGAAUACAGAGAGGCUUGGAGAGACUUACAUGAACUGAUGCUAAGUGAAAUGAGCAGAACCAGGAGAUCAUUAUACACUUCGACAAUGAUAUUGUAUGAGGAUGUAUUCUGAUGGAAGUGGAUUUUUUGACAAAGAGACCUAACUCAAUUUCAAUUGAUAAAUGAUGGACAGAAGCAGCUACAUCCAAAGAAAGAACACUGGGAAACGGAUGUGAACUAUUUGCAUUUUUGUUUUUCUUCCCGGGUUAUUUUUACCUUCUGAAUCCAGUUUUCCCUGUGCAACAAGAGAACUGUUCAGUUCUGCAAACAUAUAUUGUAUCUAGGAUAUACUGCAACAUAUCCAACAUAUAAAGGACUGCUUGCCAUCUAGGGGAAGGGGUGGAGGGAGGGAGGGAGGGGAAAAAUCGGAACAGAAGCAAGUGCAAGGGAUAAUGUUGUAAAAAAAAUUACCCUGGCAUGGAUUCUGUCAAUAUAAAGUUAUUAUAAAAUAAAAUAAAAUAUUUUUUAAAAAGUUGUUUAGUUCUAAUAUGAAAUAAAAGAAAUUAGAUCCAGGUUAGGAUGGAAUACCUUCCAGAAAUUUCUUGGCUAACAUACAUAACUUCAGCUCCUACUUCCUACCUAUAUGGUCUUAAGCAAGAAAUUUACCUUCUCUGAGCCCAUUUCUUCAUCUAUAAAUGAAGAGGUAAUGAACUAGAUGAUCUCUAAGAUUCCUUCCUAUUUCAAUCUCUAUAUCUUAUGAUCAUCUAUAUAUGAAUAUACUUAGGUUGUUUCUGUUCUCUAUAUAGAUAUGUUAGUACUGUUUUUACCUUCCUAUCGUAAAUAUGAGAAUAAGAUUUUCAUUUUUAUUUUUUGUAAGAUUACAAAAUAUUCUUGACACUAGAAACAGGAUGGGUAGGUCUAAGUAUAUGUUGUCAUAUGUUAGAGGGAUUAUACUAGUUUUGCUUUACUCUAAGGUAGAAAUGAGAAAAAAAGGGUGGAAAAUGUUAAGGAGACUGAGAGUUUAUAUAAAGGGAAACUUCUUAACAGUGAGAGAUAUUGAAAAGUGGAAUGGUGAUGAGUUUAAUUUGAAUUUUUCAAGUAGAGGCUGGAUAGUUUUUUUCUUGGGGAGGAUAUCUAAGAGAUUCUUAGACAGGUAAAGUUUGAACCUAGAUGGUUCUUGGGGGAUCUUUCAACAAUGAGAUUCUACUACAAAAUAUAAAAGUAUUAAGCUUCAAAAUGGUUGCUUACUUUAAAUGAGUUCAUAUAAAGGUAUCCAAAUGGGUUCUGAAGUGAAUAUGUAUAUCUGAAAAAUUAAUAAUUUUCCAAAACUUGCUAUGUCUGCUUUCUGGAGAUCAGCCCAAUUAAGUGUGGAAAAGUUCAUUACCAAUGGGCUGAUCUACUUGGUAAUGAAUUAUUUGACUAUUGUCAUACAUG
Molecule: long non-coding RNA, 2062 nt
Organism: Antechinus flavipes (yellow-footed antechinus)
Lineage: Eukaryota; Metazoa; Chordata; Mammalia; Dasyuromorphia; Dasyuridae
Exons: 3
Source: RefSeq, a predicted model, not a curated record